UUUAUGGUCAUAAAGAACCUUCUGGAAAGGGGGUGCUUGGCUGGAAGCUAGGUCACUCUUGACUUCACCGUCUCCUCAUCAGUAUCCUGCCGCAGCCCCUGCCCUUCGCUCAUCUCAGCAACCCUCCACGCUGCCCACACCUGGUGCCCCCACAGUCCCUGCAACGCGGCUUCCACAGUCCCUGCGUUUAAGACACGGCCGGCUUCCAACUCCUGGACCUGACCCUCAUUGGCUCAGACCCAGUGAUGUACUCAUCUCUGAGCCAAUCAUGGUGGGCAAGGGGAGGGGCUAGCUGAGGGGCUUAGACCAUUCCGGAUCCACGCCUGGAGUGCGCAUGGGCUUUCCCAGAAGUUGGUGCAGUCGCAGACGGACAGAUAGCUAGAGACCUGCCGUACCAACCCGCCAAAGUUCCUCUGCCGCAGUCGAUUCUGGAUCAUCGUGAUGUCCCUGGAAACUGAGGCUCUUGAAUCUAUGACACUUUACAAAUAGACUCUGAGGCCCUGACCUGGGACGUCCCCAGCAAGGGAGAGCCCCGCAGUCAGGUCACCGGUUAGUUAACACGGACACUGCAGUGUCUGGAAAGGGAAGAGUGGCCCCAACGAUAUGGUUCUGAGAACCUAGGACCUGCUCACCGCCCUGUGCCCAGUGGGGGCCUCCUUCAUGGGUUCAGAUUCAUGUGUGGAUUUUUAUGUCUCCAACCGCAUGACAUAGCAGCCUUGAGAAAUUUCCUCUUGGUUAAAGCAAGAGACCCUGGUAACACCACCCCACCAGGUAAGCGUGCUCAUUUGGGAUCCAGGGGGCCCGACCGAAUGUCUCAAGGCACAAACUGUAGAAUGAAGCUCCUGGUCUUAAAAUAGGGCACAUCGGGACCUCAGAGGGCCAGCUGGGCACGGUGAGCCCACCCAUCGCGGCUGCCCAGGGAGCCCACGGCUCAAACAUCUGACAGGUCCCCUUGAGAACUUCCCCGGACCCAGCUCCUUCCCGGUCUGGCCACCUUCACCCCUACUCCCAGCUCUAAACAGAAUCACUGACCCCCAUCACUCACCUGCUUACCCAGCAAGGUCCCGAAUGACUUUUGGCAGUUUCCAAAAAUCUAAUCCAGUGCCAGAAAGAUACUAUGUAACCUGUGCACUAUGUGUCCUUAUAUUUUAAAGGAUCUGCCACGGGAUAGUGACAGACAUUUUUGUGUGUGUUUAUUUAUUUAUUUUUGAGAGAGAGAGGGAGAGACAGAAUCCCAAGCAGGCUCCACAGUGCCAGUGCAGAGCCCGACACGGGGCUCAAACCCACCAACCGUGAGAUCGUGACCCGAGCCGAAAUCCAGAGUCGGACGCUUAACCGACCCAGGCGCCCCUGUAACAGACAUUUUUAAAAAGAAUUGUAGAAACAUAUUAAGGAAAAAUGCAGCAUGUUAUAACUGCAAAACAUUAAUCGUACAAACAUGUGUUUGAACGUAAUGAAAAAAUAUCUCUUCGGUGGAUAAGACGAACUAACAAAGGUAACUUCUCUAAAGCAUGACACACGGUAGUACGCACACAAGGGUUUUUUCUAUGUAUAGGUUCGUUUCUCAGGUCAUAUAAUUUAGGUGGCUUACUAUUCUGCUUGGCUGUAAGUGACAGACAGCCCCCCCCCCCCAAGUAAACAGUGGGCUGCGUUUUUUUUCCUCUCCCGUAAAAGUGCGCUGAUCUGGCCCCUCGUGGCUGCCGUGUGAGGGUCUAGGCUCCUCCCAACACGCACUGCACGGUGGGUAAAGCUCUACACGUACAUUUCCAGAACUCGGUUACCUGGUCGCAUCCAGGUCAGGCAAGUCCGGGAGAUGUUUGCAUUUGAGGAAGCCAUGCUCUGGCUAAAACUCAGGGACCUUAUUUCUUAGGAGAAGGAAGAAGGCAGCGGGUUGUGGGCUGGGUAGCAGUCUCGGCCACCGCCCACCCUGCAGCCACCCACAUAUCGGCGCUCGCCCUUCUGCUGCACCCACAACCCACCCCCGCCGCACCCCCGGACACAGCGGCAAAGCCCCAGCCGGUCCCCGCAUCUGCCUCAAAACGCAGGGUCCCAAGGAUAACGCGGAAAACCUCCCCACCAGAAACGGUUCGACAAGCUACGAACCAGGCAGUCCCUGGCUCCCAGUCCACCCAGCAUAAGGCGGGUGGGUGGGAAGGAGACGCCGGCACGAAAAACCCCCCUCUGGAGCAAAGACUGAGAAGCACAACCUCCCCUGGUCCAUCCACGUGCGCCAAUCCGAGCGGGAGGAACAGCCAGGACGCCAGGGCCCCCCGCUGGGGUCCUCGCGAGAGUGUCUGUUCCAAAACGUGUGGACCUCGGAUCCAUCAGUUGCCCAUCAGCUCUGGCCGUCAAGG
This is a long non-coding RNA of Acinonyx jubatus (cheetah), 2354 nucleotides long. RefSeq lists it as uncharacterized. The transcript is spliced from 3 exons. The record is from RefSeq and is a predicted model, not a curated record. Lineage: Eukaryota; Metazoa; Chordata; Mammalia; Carnivora; Felidae.